UACGUAGGUGGCGAGCGUUGUCCGGAAUUACUGGGCGUAAAGGAUGCGUAGGUGGAUAAUUAAGUGGGAUGUGAAAUCCCCGGGCUCAACCCGGGAACUGCAUACCAAACUGGUUAUCUAGAGUGCAGGAGAGGAAAGUAGAAUUCAUAGUGUAGCGGUGAAAUGCGUAGAUAUUAUGAGGAAUACCAGUGGCGAAGGCGACUUUCUGGACUGUAACUGACACUGAGGCAUGAAAGCGUGGGUAGCAAACAGGAUUAGAUACCCUGGUAGUCCACGCCGUAAACGAUGGGUACUAGGUGUAGGGGGUAUCGACUCCCCCUGUGCCGUCGUUAACACAAUAAGUACCCCGCCUGGGGAGUACGGUCGCAAGACUAAA
RNAcentral lists this ribosomal RNA (376 nucleotides) under uncultured bacterium. RNAcentral's name for it is "bacterial SSU rRNA". It matches the Rfam family "Bacterial small subunit ribosomal RNA", at positions 524 to 898 of the family's 1533-position model. The record is from RNAcentral.